AGAACGGACUCGCCAUUUAUGGAUCCCGCAGAGGUCGAUUCGAUGAGAACGGCGAUCGCUCAGCAGGGCUCUUGGUUGGGCCAGCACACAGCCCAGUUAUCCUCCACCAAUCGAGAGAUAGACGAUCUCGCUGCCCGAGUCGCCGACCUCACCGCCUGUCUAGAUCAGGUUUGACGCGAGCAUUCUUCAUCUUCAUCUCCAUCCGAAAGGGAGCCCCAUGUAACAGAUCCUCCACCUUACGACGGAGAUCCAGCCGCUUGCUGGGCUUUCCUAUCUCAGUGCUCGCUCAUCUUCGCUCUCCAGCCCCGCCGCUAUGUCUCUGAACGCACCAAAGUGGCUUACGUCAUCACCCGUUUGGUCGGCAAGGCCCGUGAUUGGGCCACCACUGUUUGGGAUUCUCACGACUCCUGUUGCUGUUCUUUCGAGGAAUUCCGGGGUGAGAUGGAGAAAUUAUUUGACCGUUCUGUCCGCGGCGAUGCUGCUGCCGCCCGCCUGACCCGUUUCACCCAAUCUGGGUUGUCUGUGACAGACUACGCUAUUGAAUUCAAAACUCUUGCUGCCACCUGCCGGUGGAAUGAGGCGGCCCUCCAGGCGCGCUUUGUGGAUGGACUUAUCAAUUGAUGAUAAUCAAAUAAUGAUAAUGAAAAUGAUGAUCACGAUGAAGAAGAGGAAAGCUUUGAGGGUGUGGAAUUUGUUGAUGCCAAAGAUGACUACUUGGAAUACCAGCUACCCAAGCACCAUCGCUGCGCCUGCCAACUCCUCAAUUAAGUAUCCACAGUUGAUGCUUCAAAAGAAGAAGUCAAUCCAUUGUACAAGCGUGUGUCAAGGUCCAGAUUUGCAAAAUGCUCUAAAAAAGUCCAAUAUCAACCACCGCAUUUGAAGUAAUUGGAGACCACUGCAAACUCCAACUCGUAAGGCCUGUUGCUACAAGGUGGAAUUCACUCUUCUCAGGAGUAGAAAGAAUAGUGAGAAUUACAAGAGAACAUGGCGAAGGAGCCCUUGCAGCUGUCUGCAGUGAACUAGAUACACCCAAAUUUACAGAUUUAGUCCAGUUGCAAAGGCACUGGAUGUUCUUCAGGGAGAAACCAAUGUGCAGAUGUGUUGAUUGGUCCCACCAUAACUCUACAAAGGACCAAGCUCCAGCACCUUCAUGUCACCUCCAAGUUCCAUGAACCUUAGAUUACUGAACUUCUAUCAGGCCUUGGCUGAAAAGGCUUUGGCGAGAUGCUUGCUGAUCCAGAGCUGAUAGCCGCAGCCAUUCUAGUUCCCAAAUUUAAGACCUGCUGGACAAGUGAUGAAAAUAUCCUCAAACUUGCCUUGACUACAUCAGAAACCACUUGGACUGUCAGGCCGAGAAUCACAUCAGUGAGGGCUCCCAAUCAUCUGAGGAAGAGGACUUCUUUUCCUCGAAGAAGACCAGUCCCCUUGAAAUGACCCAGCAGUUGGAUGCAUACCUGGGGUGCCCAGGAGACACAGUAGAGGUACCGAAGUCCUUCUCAGCUGCAGUGUGCCAGCUAUCACUUAAGCUUAAUACGUCACUCCCUGUCUCAGCAGCCUGUGAAAGACUGUUUUGUGUUGCAGGGUUGAUCUUCAGGCCAAGAAGAGCAUGCAUUGGCUCAAAGAACUUUAAGAACCAGCUGCUUUUGCGGCUAAACAAAGCCUAUUGGUUACUCUGUUGCAUGUUCUGUGCUUAACUGAUGUUGAUUACCCUGUUGUUGUUUGAGUCCAAUGUG
Non-coding RNA from Misgurnus anguillicaudatus (oriental weatherfish), 1733 nucleotides. Lineage: Eukaryota; Metazoa; Chordata; Actinopteri; Cypriniformes; Cobitidae. The record is from RefSeq and is a predicted model, not a curated record.